AUGAGUUUGAAGCUAGGACCCAUAAGAAAGAGCUAUCUUAAUAAUAAUAAUAAUUUAGGCCGGGCGCGGUGGCUCAAGCCUGUAAUCCCAGCACUUUGGGAGGCCGAGACGGGCGGAUCACAAGGUCAGGAGAUCGAGACCAUCCUGGCUAACACGGUGAAACCCCGUCUCUACUAAGAAAUACAAAAAAUAGCCGGGCGAGGUGGCAGCGCCUGUAGUCCCAGCUACUCGGGAGGCUGAGGCCGGAGAAUGGCGUGAACCCGGGAGGCGGAGCUUGGAGUGAGCUGAGAUCCGGCCACUGCACUCCAGCCUGGGCGACAGCGCGAGACUCCGUCUCAAAAAAAAAAAAAAAAAAAAAAAAAGAUACAAAAAUUAGCCGGGUGUGGUGGGCGCCUGUAAUCCCAGCUACUGGGGAGGCUGAGGCAGGAGAAUCAUUUGAAACCUGGAGGCAGAGAUUUCGGUGAGCCGAGAUCGUGCCACUGCAUUCCAGCCUGGGUGACAGGGCAAGACUCCGUCUCAAAAAAUAAAAAUAAAAAUAAAAAAAAACUCAGGCCAAGACAGGUCUACACUUCCCCAUCUUCUAAAUUCAAUUCAAAGGUCAUUUAGAAGGCCAGUAUGGCAAGGAAAAAACAAGUCUUCAUCAAAUCUAGUAGAUCUACAUAAAAUAAGAUCCAGGCCAGGCGCGGUGACUCACGCCUGUAAUCCCAGCACUUUGGGGGACAAGGCGGGUGAAUCACGAGGUCAGGAGAUGGAGACCAUCCUGGCUAAUACGGUGAAACCUCAUCUCUACUAAAAAUACAAAAAAAAAAUUAGCCGGGCAUGGUGGCGGGUGCCUGUAGUCCCAGCUACUCAAGAGGCUGAGUUAGGAGAAUGGCGUGAACCUGGGAGGUGGAGCUUGCAGUGAGCCGAGACAGCGCCACUGCACUCCAGCCUGGGCGACAGAGCAAGACUCUGUCUCAAAAAAUAAAUAAUUAAAUAAGAUCCGCAUCUUGGCUGUGCAUGGGGCUCACGCCUGUAAUCCCAGCACUUUGGGAAGCCGAGACGGGCAGAUAAUGAGGUCAGGAGUUUGAGACCAGCCUGACCAACAUGGUGAAACCCCGCCUCUACUAAAACCACAAAAAUUAGCUGGGCAUGAUGGCGGGUGCCUGCAGUCCCAACUACUCAGGAGGCUGAGGCAGGAGAAUGACUUGAGCCCGGGACAUGGAGGUUGCAGUGAGCCAAGAUCACGCCACUGCAUUCCAGCCUGGGUAACAAAGCGAAACACCAUCUCAAAAAAAAAAGAUAAGAUCCACAUCUUAUUUUAUUGACACAGAAAAUGUCAAGAACCCCAAAUUUGG
This 1337-nucleotide long non-coding RNA is filed under the name Papio anubis (olive baboon). RNAcentral describes it as "lncRNA (ENSPANG00000048765.1)". Lineage: Eukaryota; Metazoa; Chordata; Mammalia; Primates; Cercopithecidae. The record is from RNAcentral.